RNAcentral lists this ribosomal RNA (450 nucleotides) under uncultured bacterium. RNAcentral's name for it is "partial 16S ribosomal RNA". It matches the Rfam family "Bacterial small subunit ribosomal RNA", at positions 338 to 795 of the family's 1533-position model. The record is from RNAcentral.
CCUACGGGUGGCUGCAGUGGGGAAUUUUGGACAAUGGGCGCAAGCCUGAUCCAGCCAUGCCGCGUGCGGGAAGAAGGCCUUCGGGUUGUAAACCGCUUUUGUCAGGGAAGAAACGGUUCGGGCUAAUACCUCUAACUAAUGACGGUACCUGAAGAAUAAGCACCGGCUAACUACGUGCCAGCAGCCGCGGUAAUACGUAGGGUGCAAGCGGGAAUCGGAAUUACUGGGCGUGAUGCGUGCGCACACGGGUGAAAUCCCCGGGCUCAACCUGGGAACUGCAGUUGUGACUGCAUGACUUGAGUACGGUAGAGGGGGAUGGAAUUCCGCGUGUAGCAGUGAAAUGCGUAGAUAUGCGGAGGAACACCGAUGGCGAAGGCAAUCCCCUGGACCUGUACUGACGCUCAUGCACGAAAGCGUGGGGAGCAAACAGGAUUGGAUACCCUAGUAGUC